This 429-nucleotide ribosomal RNA is filed under the name Chloroflexota bacterium. RNAcentral describes it as "Chloroflexi bacterium partial 16S ribosomal RNA". It matches the Rfam family "Bacterial small subunit ribosomal RNA", at positions 355 to 776 of the family's 1533-position model. Lineage: Bacteria; Bacillati; Chloroflexota. The record is from RNAcentral.
UGGGGAAUAUUGCACAAUGGGCGCAAGCCUGAUGCAGCCAUGCCGCGUGUGUGAAGAAGGCCUUCGGGUUGUAAAGCACUUUCAGCGGGGAGGAAGGCGUUAAGGUUAAUAACCUUGGCGAUUGACGUUACCCGCAGAAGAAGCACCGGCUAACUCCGUGCCAGCAGCCGCGGUAAUACGGAGGGUGCAAGCGUUAAUCGGAAUUACUGGGCGUAAAGCGCACGCAGGCGGUCUGUCAAGUCGGAUGUGAAAUCCCCGGGCUCAACCUGGGAACUGCAUUCGAAACUGGCAGGCUAGAGUCUUGUAGAGGGGGGUAGAAUUCCAGGGGGAGCGGUGAAAUGCGUAGAGAUCUGGGGGAAUACCGGUGGCGAAGGCGGCCCCCUGGACAAAGACUGACGCUCAGGUGCGAAAGCGUGGGGAGCAAACAGG